CCUACGGGAGGCAGCAGUGGGGAAUAUUGCGCAAUGGGCGAAAGCCUGACGCAGCGACGCCGCGUGAGGGAUGAAGGUCUUCGGAUCGUAAACCUCUGUUAGCAGGGAAGAACGGUCACUGUGCUAAUCAGCAGUGAAUUGACGGUACCUGCAAAGGAAGCACCGGCUAACUCCGUGCCAGCAGCCGCGGUAAUACGGAGGGUGCGAGCGUUAAUCGGAAUUACUGGGCGUAAAGGGAUCGUAGGCGGUAUGUCAAGUCAAGGGUGAAAUUCCCGCGCUCAACGUGGGAACUGCCUUUGAGACUGGCAGUCUGGAGUGUGGGAGAGGAAAGUGGAAUUCGAGGUGUAGGAGUGAAAUCCGUAGAUAUCUGGAGGAACAUCAAUGGCGAAGGCGACUAUCUGGCACAUAACUGACACUGAGGAGCGAAAGCGUGGGUAGCAAACAGGAUUAGAUACCCUUGUAGUC
RNAcentral lists this ribosomal RNA (465 nucleotides) under uncultured bacterium. Its description in RNAcentral is "partial 16S ribosomal RNA". It matches the Rfam family "Bacterial small subunit ribosomal RNA", at positions 338 to 795 of the family's 1533-position model. The record is from RNAcentral.